RNAcentral lists this ribosomal RNA (584 nucleotides) under Desulfovibrio sp. PR5_D02. RNAcentral describes it as "bacterial SSU rRNA". It matches the Rfam family "Bacterial small subunit ribosomal RNA", at positions 107 to 671 of the family's 1533-position model. Lineage: Bacteria; Pseudomonadati; Thermodesulfobacteriota; Desulfovibrionia; Desulfovibrionales; Desulfovibrionaceae. The record is from RNAcentral.
UGAGUAACGCGUGGAUAAUCUACCCUUAAGAUCGGGAUAACAGUUGGAAACGACUGCUAAUACCGUAUGUCCUGCAUAUUUAACUUUAUGUGGAAAAGGUGGCCUCUAUUUAUAAGCUACCGCUUUUGGAUGAGUCCGCGUCUCAUUAGCUUGUUGGUGGGGUAAUGGCCUACCAAGGCAACGAUGAGUAGCUGGUCUGAGAGGAUGAUCAGCCACACUGGGACUGAAACACGGCCCAGACUCCUACGGGAGGCAGCAGUGGGGAAUAUUGCGCAAUGGGGGAAACCCUGACGCAGCGACGCCGCGUGUAGGAAGAAGGCCUUCGGGUCAUAAACUACUGUCAAGAGGGAAGAAACUGUUAAGGUUUAAUACGCCUUUUCACUGACGGUACCUCUAGAGGAAGCACCGGCUAACUCCGUGCCAGCAGCCGCGGUAAUACGGAGGGUGCGAGCGUUAAUCGGAAUCACUGGGCGUAAAGCGUGCGUAGGCGGCGUGGAAAGUCAGACGUGAAAGCCCUCGGCUCAACCGAGGAAUUGCGUUUGAAACUGCCAUGCUAGAGUCUCGGAGAGGUUGGCGGAAUUCCA